GAUGAACGCUGGCGGCGUGCCUAACACAUGCAAGUCGAGCGGAAAUAGUCUGAAGUAUUCGUACGGAAGGGUAUUUUAGCGGCGGACGGGUGAGUAACACGUGAGCAACCUGCCUUCAGCUGGGGAAUAACAUUGGGAAACCAGUGCUAAUACCGCAUGACAUCACGGGGGGACAUCCCCCUGUGAUCAAAGGAUUUCGAUCCGGCCGAAGAUGGGCUCGCGUCCGAUUAGUUAGUUGGUGAGGUAACGGCUCACCAAGACCGCGAUCGGUAGCCGAACUGAGAGGUUGAUCGGCCACAUUGGGACUGAGACACGGCCCAGACUCCUACGGGAGGCAGCAGUGGGGAAUAUUGGGCAAUGGGGGAAACCCUGACCCAGCAACGCCGCGUGAAGGACGAAGGCCUUCGGGUUGUAAACUUCUUUGAUCAGGGACGAAACAAAUGACGGUACCUGAAGAACAAGCCACGGCUAACUACGUG
RNAcentral lists this ribosomal RNA (479 nucleotides) under uncultured bacterium. Its description in RNAcentral is "bacterial SSU rRNA". It matches the Rfam family "Bacterial small subunit ribosomal RNA", at positions 28 to 507 of the family's 1533-position model. The record is from RNAcentral.